GGCAAUGUAGCUCCAAUGGUAGAGCAGGGUUUUCCUAAGACUCAGGUUAGGUGUUCGAGUCACCUUUUUGCC
This 72-nucleotide transfer RNA is filed under the name Chromochloris zofingiensis. RNAcentral's name for it is "tRNA-Arg". It matches the Rfam family "tRNA". Rfam says of the family: Transfer RNA (tRNA) molecules are approximately 80 nucleotides in length. Their secondary structure includes four short double-helical elements and three loops (D, anti-codon, and T loops). Further hydrogen bonds mediate the characteristic L-shaped molecular structure. tRNAs have two regions of fundamental functional importance: the anti-codon, which is responsible for specific mRNA codon recognition, and the 3' end, to which the tRNAs corresponding amino acid is attached (by aminoacyl-tRNA synthetases). tRNAs cope with the degeneracy of the genetic code in two manners: having more than one tRNA (with a specific anti-codon) for a particular amino acid; and 'wobble' base-pairing, i.e. permitting non-standard base-pairing at the 3rd anti-codon position. Lineage: Eukaryota; Viridiplantae; Chlorophyta; Chlorophyceae; Sphaeropleales; Chromochloridaceae. The record is from RNAcentral.